Molecule: ribosomal RNA, 253 nt
Filed under: uncultured bacterium
Lineage: Bacteria
Description: partial 16S ribosomal RNA
Rfam family: Bacterial small subunit ribosomal RNA
Source: RNAcentral
UACGGAGGGGGCUAGCGUUGUUCGGAAUUACUGGGCGUAAAGCGCGCGUAGGCGGACCUGCAAGUCGGGGGUGAAAGCCCGAGGCUCAACCUCGGAACUGCCUUCGAUACCGCGGGUCUCGAGUCCGGGAGAGGUGAGAGGAAUUCCUAGUGUAGAGGUGAAAUUCGUAGAUAUUAGGAAGAACACCAGUGGCGAAGGCGGCUCACUGGCCCGGUACUGACGCUGAGGCGCGAAAGCGUGGGGAGCAAACAGG